AAUUAAAGUACACUGGUUGUCUACAGGCAAAUGUGAACCUAGUUUGAGCACCUUUUCUGCUCAGUAUAAAUAGACAGCCUGCAUUCCAUCAACAUCUCAUUCACACUUCUGUCUCUGUGAGACCACUUUUAUAUGUUUCUUUUACCUUCAGGCUUUAUUUUUUUCAAUCUCUCCUCAUUCAGUUUUUGUUUUGCUGUCUCGAACUCCUUUCCAUUUCUCCUGUCUACUCUCUUUCCCAGGUUCAUUUCUAGGAUUACAGCUGAUCUCGCUCAAUAAAUAAAUUCCAGUUAAAAGCUUGUUUUCUUUUUGGUUCUGCACAUCAAAAUUUUUCCUGCAGAGCCCUUGAAAACACUGGACACCUGUGUAAUAGGUAAUUGUAUUUACUCUAUGUGGCUGUAAGCCCUCACAUAGUCAUCAUGUUAUCUCUUGGCUGCCAUGAGGAGCCAGGGAACAGUGCCAAGUUAUACCCCAGGAAAGAAGUCAAGACUUUCUAAGAUGGUUUGAUUACUUACAAUGGGGGGCUACAUGGCACUAUUGGCACUAAUAUCAUUUAAGGGAACCAUGGUGAUUUGUUGUGUUACUUUAAAUUAAGCAAUGUUUUAAAAAUGAAUUGGAGAAACGGCAGAUACUCAUCAUAUAUUAGAGGAACAUAAAGUAGCAACUAUCUGUUUAAAGUCCUAGCAUUAACCUUACGACCAUUUUCAGAACGGAAACUGCUUACCAAUAAAUUCUACCAUUAGUAAUAGUUGAGUUCUUGCUUACUGGGUUAAUGGUCUUUUUAGUGAACAGGGACAGUAAAGCAAUGAUCCAAAGACUUAUCAAUGAUUCCCCAUUUCAAUAAUGCAUAUCGGUAACUGUCUAUCACUAACUCCCCUUCUAUUGUUCUUCAGAACUCUGCAAGCCUUAUCCAGUAUCCUAAAAGUAUAAUAUAUAGUCAGUACAAGAUUACCAAAUCAGAAGUGCACCCAAGAACAAUAUUUGGC
This is a non-coding RNA of Pelobates cultripes (western spadefoot toad), 983 nucleotides long. NCBI's taxonomy places the organism in Eukaryota, Metazoa, Chordata, Amphibia, Anura, Pelobatidae. The record is from the annotation of a GenBank genome assembly.